RNAcentral lists this ribosomal RNA (867 nucleotides) under uncultured bacterium. RNAcentral's name for it is "bacterial SSU rRNA". It matches the Rfam family "Bacterial small subunit ribosomal RNA", at positions 8 to 903 of the family's 1533-position model. The record is from RNAcentral.
AGAGUUUGAUCAUGGCUCAGGAUGAACGCUGGCGGCGUGCCUAACACAUGCAAGUCGAGCGAUUCUCUUCGGAGAAGAGCGGCGGACGGGUGAGUAACGCGUGGGUAACCUGCCCUGUACACACGGAUAACAUACCGAAAGGUAUGCUAAUACGAGAUAACAUACUUUUAUCGCAUGGUAGAAGUAUCAAAGCUCCGGCGGUACAGGAUGGACCCGCGUCUGAUUAGCUAGUUGGUAAGGUAACAGCUUACCAAGGCGACGAUCAGUAGCCGACCUGAGAGGGUGAUCGGCCACAUUGGAACUGAGACACGGUCCAAACUCCUACGGGAGGCAGCAGUGGGGAAUAUUGCACAAUGGGCGAAAGCCUGAUGCAGCAACGCCGCGUGAGCGAUGAAGGCCUUCGGGUCGUAAAGCUCUGUCCUCAAGGAAGAUAAUGACGGUACUUGAGGAGGAAGCCCCGGCUAACUACGUGCCAGCAGCCGCGGUAAUACGUAGGGGGCUAGCGUUAUCCGGAAUUACUGGGCGUAAAGGGUGCGUAGGUGGUUUCUUAAGUCAGAGGUGAAAGGCUACGGCUCAACCGUAGUAAGCCUUUGAAACUGGGAAACUUGAGUGCAGGAGAGGAGAGUGGAAUUCCUAGUGUAGCGGUGAAAUGCGUAGAUAUUAGGAGGAACACCAGUUGCGAAGGCGGCUCUCUGGACUGUAACUGACACUGAGGCACGAAAGCGUGGGGAGCAAACAGGAUUAGAUACCCUGGUAGUCCACGCCGUAACGAUGAGUACUAGCUGUCGGAGGUUACCCCCCUUCGGUGGCGCAGCUAACGCAUUAAAGUACUCCGCCUGGGAAGUACGCUCGCAAGAGUGAAACUCA